GCGGUCUAGAUGCUGGUGGGGUUCCGUAUGGGACAUUGGUGAAGACCCAGCCACGCCCUGGGUGCCAAGAUGCCAAAGGGCUCAUACCAUCCGGAAACUUGAGAGCUCAUGGCUGGGUCCUGUGCCUCGAAAGAUGAUAAGUGAGUCCAAGAAGGGGACUAGGUGGAGUGUGUGAGCAUGAACCUCUUUGAAUCAGGGUGAGCUGGCCCAUUCCGCCCAUCUCUCCUGGUGAUGCUGUCAGGGUGUUGGUGGCAAAAUCAAUGGUUGCCUUGGUUCCGCCCUCAUCAUGUUUUGCCUGCAGCAUUCCCAUCCUCAGCCUCCAACCUCCGGCCUCUCCCCUACACCCCCUUUCACACUGUGGCCAGACCCAUUUUUUUAAAUUGUAGUGAUAACACUGUGUUGGCCAAAAAGUUCAUACGGGUUUUUCCGUAAGAUGUCGUGGAAAAUCGGGAACGAACUUUGUGGCCAACCCAAUACUUAACAUGAGAUCUAAGUGUAGGAUAGUUGUUGAGUGUGAGGCCAGUGUUGCAGCUCUCCAGAGCUUAUUCAGACUGCUUCUUCUAACACGCAGAUCUGAGCCUAUCACUCCCUUGCUUAAAUCCUUCAGUGGCGCCCUGCUGCCCUCAGGGUACAGCAUCGUGGCUCUGCUUACCUCUCCAGGCUCAUUUUGUCUUACUACCCCUCCCCUCAACUCUUAUGUUCCAAGCACGUUCUCUUGCGUCCUUCAGUUCCUUCACAUCUGCUGCUCCCUCUGCCUGGGCCAGCCUUCCACCCUCCCGUCUUCCACUCGCCUAAGCCUCCUUGUCUUUAGAGGACUUAGCUUAGUGUCAUUGCCUCUCGGAAGCCUUGCCUGCCUCUAUACUCCAGGCUGGAUUACUGAGCAGAGUCUUGUGCGUUCUUCUGUUGCUGCACCCAUCAAGCGGUCUCUUAUGCAUGUGAGCACAUCAGGGGUCGUCCCUGUUCAUUGUGUCCCCAGCGUGGAAGGGUGCUCAGUACAUCCUGGAUGUCAAACACCUGAAUGAUAAACAGCUAACAUUUCAUGG
This 1043-nucleotide long non-coding RNA is filed under the name Phocoena sinus (vaquita). Its description in RNAcentral is "lncRNA (ENSPSNG00000000803.1)". Lineage: Eukaryota; Metazoa; Chordata; Mammalia; Artiodactyla; Phocoenidae. The record is from RNAcentral.